This is a long non-coding RNA of Daphnia pulex (common water flea), 370 nucleotides long. RefSeq lists it as uncharacterized. The transcript is spliced from 3 exons. The record is from RefSeq and is a predicted model, not a curated record. Lineage: Eukaryota; Metazoa; Arthropoda; Branchiopoda; Diplostraca; Daphniidae.
AGUAUAAAAAGGUCGACUAGUUCGUUUGAAAUAAUCACAAGUUCUUUAGCAAUUCGAACACACCACUAUUUGUCUUCGAGGGCAGCAGCAGCCAAACCAAUAAUAGCAGCAAUGGCCACAAGAAUGUCUCCCGUUUUCCUUUUUCUGGUCAUUUCGCUCUUCGUUCUUAUAAACUUCACUGAUUUUGCUUAUUCAAAAGACUGCACUCGUGGCUAUCGGGUGAACAGUGGUGAUACUUGUUGGUCUACUGCCCAAAAAUGUGGCAUCUCCCUGCAAACGCUUUUUUACCACAACGGACUUAUAAACAACUGCGACAAUCUUCAGCCGGGUCAUUUUCUUUGCUGCACCCAAGCCGAUGAUGUCCUGACUC